This 692-nucleotide ribosomal RNA is filed under the name uncultured bacterium. RNAcentral describes it as "bacterial SSU rRNA". It matches the Rfam family "Bacterial small subunit ribosomal RNA", at positions 766 to 1457 of the family's 1533-position model. The record is from RNAcentral.
GAGCGAACAGGAUUAGAUACCCUGGUAGUCCACGCCGUAAACGUUGGGCACUAGGUGUGGGGGGCCUUUUCCGGGUCUUCCGCGCCGUAGCUAACGCAUUAAGUGCCCCGCCUGGGGAGUACGGCCGCAAGGCUAAAACUCAAAGGAAUUGACGGGGGCCCGCACAAGCGGCGGAGCAUGCGGAUUAAUUCGAUGCAACGCGAAGAACCUUACCAAGGCUUGACAUGUGCCGGUCGGCUCCGGAGACGGGGUUUCCUCCUUGUGGGGCCGGUUCACAGGUGGUGCAUGGUUGUCGUCAGCUCGUGUCGUGAGAUGUUGGGUUAAGUCCCGCAACGAGCGCAACCCUUGUCCCGUGUUGCCAGCACGUUGUGGUGGGGACUCGCGGGAGACUGCCGGGGUCAACUCGGAGGAAGGUGGGGAUGACGUCAAAUCAUCAUGCCCCUUAUGUCUUGGGCUUCACGCAUGCUACAAUGGCCGGUACAGAGGGCUGCGAUCCCGUGAGGUGGAGCGAAUCCCUUAAAGCCGGUCUCAGUUCGGAUCGGUGUCUGCGACUCGACACCGUGAAGUUGGAGUCGCUAGUAAUCGCAGAUCAGCAACGCUGCGGUGAAUACGUUCUCGGGCCUUGUACACACCGCCCGUCACGUCAUGAAAGUCGGCAACACCCGAAGCCCGUGGCCCUACGGGGAGCGGUC